This 464-nucleotide ribosomal RNA is filed under the name Vreelandella stevensii. RNAcentral's name for it is "partial 16S ribosomal RNA". It matches the Rfam family "Bacterial small subunit ribosomal RNA", at positions 338 to 795 of the family's 1533-position model. The record is from RNAcentral. Lineage: Bacteria; Pseudomonadati; Pseudomonadota; Gammaproteobacteria; Oceanospirillales; Halomonadaceae.
CCUAUGGGUGGCUGCAGUGGGGAAUAUUGGACAAUGGGCGAAAGCCUGAUCCAGCCAUGCCGCGUGUGUGAAGAAGGCCUUCGGGUUGUAAAGCACUUUCAGUGGGGAAGAAAGCCUUGGGGCUAAUACCCUCGAGGAAGGACAUCACCCACAGAAGAAGCACCGGCUAACUCCGUGCCAGCAGCCGCGGUAAUACGGAGGGUGCGAGCGUUAAUCGGAAUUACUGGGCGUAAAGCGCGCGUAGGCGGUCUGAUAAGCCGGUUGUGAAAGCCCCGGGCUCAACCUGGGAACGGCAUCCGGAACUGUCAGGAUAGAGUGCAGGAGAGGAAGGUAGAAUUCCCGGUGUAGCGGUGAAAUGCGUAGAGAUCGGGAGGAAUACCAGUGGCGAAGGCGGCCUUCUGGACUGACACUGACGCUGAGGUGCGAAAGCGUGGGUAGCAAACAGGAUUAGAUACCCAGUAGUC